GAAGCUUUUGCCGUCUGUUUUGAAGGAGAAGCACUAGCAUGGUAUCAAUGGGAGGAGAGUCGACAACCUAUGACUUGGGAAGACGUGAAGCUUCUUCUAUUGGAUCAUUUUCGUCCUUUGCAGGAAGGGAUAGCCUUAGAGAAGUUCCUGGCUUUGAAGCAGGAGAGCACUGUGAAGGAUUACCUUAGGAUGUUUGAGAUGUUGGCCGCGCCUUUGCCGGCGAUUCCUGAAUCAGUGAUGGAGGAGAAUUUCAUCAACAGAUUGAGCCCAAAAGUAUGUGCUGAAGUGCGGUUGAUUAGGCCCAAGGGGUUGGGCCAAAUCAUGGAAUUGGCCUAAAGAGUGGAGGAUAGGAACGAGUCCCUGAAACGAGCCCAUUUGAGGCCAGGCCCAAUUAUGUAUAAAGGCAGUGGUACAGUCUCGUCGGGCAGCCCCAAUUCAUUUAGCCCCUCUCACCAAUUCAGCCCAACGUCUCUACCUCCGAAGUCGUCCACAGCAACGAUAGCCAACUCCAAGUUGGCAACAAUUCCAAUGCCUCGACCGGUGAUUGUAGCUAAGUCGACAUCUCCCUUUAAGAGACUCAUCGACCCCGAGUUGCAUGAGAAGAGGGAUAAGGGUCUUUGCUAUCGCUACGAUGAAAAGUUUAAGCCCGAUCAUAAAUGCACAAAUAGGGAAUUGCAAGUGCUUGUGGUACAAGAAGAGAAUGGGAUGGAGCAAGUGGAAGCACCUGAGGAGGAAGAAGGUGGUGAACUGGGGGAGUUGAUUGAACUAUCCAUUAAAUCGGUGGUUGGCCUCCCCAUGCCUCAAAUAAUGAAGCUUCAAGGUUCCAUUUUAGGGCGGAGUGUGGUGGUGAUUAUUGAUUGUGAUGCUACCCACAAUUUUAUUUCGAAUGAGCUAGUUUGGAAACUUGGGUUGAACAUCACCAGUAAGUACAGUGAUGGAGCCAUUAUAGGAACAUGGCUCGGGUCAAUGGAGGUUGAGUGUGUCGAGGAGUGGUGGUAUCUCUACCACAAAUUGAUGUAGUGGAAGAUUUCCUACCAUUAAAGUUGGGAUGCACAGUGAUCGUGGGAAUGAAGUGGUUGGGAACCUUGGGGAAGAUGCAGGUAAACUGGGGAGCAUUGACUAUGCGUUUUAAGGUAAGGGAAAAGAAACCAUUGUGCUGCGAGGGGACCCCAAUCUGGAUAAAUCGCGAGUGUCCCCAAAGUCGAUAGUGAAGUCCAUUAGGAAUGGGGAACAAGGGGUGUUGCUAGAAUUGGGGAGUUUGGGUAUGGUCUCCGAGGAAAUGGGGAUUGAGAUGCCUGAUACAAUCUGGUAGUUGUUGAAGGAAUACGGUAGGGUAUUUGGAGAAUCCUACGAGCUUUUUCCAACACGAACACGGGAUCACGCGAUUACAUUGCAACCGGGGACAGCAGCAAUCAAUGUGAGACCCUACUGUUAUCCUUAUGCCCAGAAAAAUGAAAUUGAGAAGUUGGUUCGGGAGAUGCUAGUUGUUGGGAUUAUACAACCCAGUCAUAGUCCAUUCUCGAGCCCAGUUCUGCUGAUUAAGAAGGAUGGGAGUUGGCGCUUUUGCGUGGACUAUCGUGCCCUCAAUAAGGUUACAAUACCUGAUCGCUUCCCAAAAUCGAUAAUUGAUGAGUGCUGGAUGAAUUACAUGGAGCCUGAGUAUUUUCUAAGCAGGAUUUGAAGCCAGGAUACCAUCAGAUCAGGGUUAAGGCAGAUGACAUCCCUAAGACUACUUUCUGAACUUACGAGGGUCAUUACGAGUUCUUGGUAAUGCCCUUUGGGUUGACAAAAGCAUUGGCUACCUUCCAGCACUUGAUGAAUGAGAUCUUCAGACCCUUUUUAAGGAAAUUUGUACUGGUCUUCUUUGACGACAUUUUGGUGUACAGUGGGACGGUAGAGGAACAUUGUCAGCAUUUGCAUAAAGUCUUGGGAAGCUUGCAGGAGCAUAAGUUGUUUGCUAAUGCAAAGAAAUGUGUAUUUGGACAGCAGAAGAUUGAAUAUUUAGGUCACGUCAUAUCUGAGGAAGGAGUGGCAACCGAUCAGAGUAAAAUUGAAGCAAUGAUCUGCUGGCCCCCACGCUACGUCAAGGAGCUCUGAGGGUUCCUUGGUCUGACAAGCUAUUACGUGCAGUUUGUGGCGGGAUACGCCAAGGUUGCAUGGCCACUAACCGAGCUUCUUAAGAAAAAUGGAUUCUUUUGGAGUAAUGAGGCUGAGAGAGCAUUCCAAGAACUGAAGCCAGCCAUGACAGAUGUCCCCGUAUUCUCAUUGCCUGACUUUUCACAAUAGUUCGUCAUUGAAAUUGAUGCUUCAGGGUAUGGACUGGGGACUGUGCUGAUGCAGAACCAUCACGCUAUUGCCUAUUACAGCCACGUUCUUCCAUCUAAUGCAAGAAAAAAAUCAGUCUACGAGCGGGAAUUAAUGGCAAUUGUGUUUGCUGUUCAGAAAUGGUGGCAUUACUUAUUGGGACGGCACUUUGUUGUGCGGACGGAUCAAAGAAGUCUGAAGUUUUUGUUGGAACACCGUAUGGUCAGCGAAGAGCAUCAAAAGUGGCUAACCAAAUUGUUGGGGUACAGUUUUGACAUCCAGUACCAACUUGGGGUGCAAAACAAGGCUGCAGACGCUCUUUCUCGGGUUGAACCAACCCUCAGUAACUUGAUGAUCUCUACUCCCAGGUCGCUAAAUUUAGAAGAGCUCAAACAAGCUAUUGCCGCAGAUGAUGUUUAGGGUAAGCUGGUGAAUGACAUACAGUCGGGGCUUCUAGUGAAACCUGGUUUUACACUUGCAGAAGGGGCUGGUGCUUCCCAAAAACUCUCCUUUUGUCACAACCAUAUUGCAGGAAGGCCAUGAUUCCAAGAUAGGUGGGCACUCCGGUUUCCUUAAGACAUAUAAAAGGGUUGCACGUGAGGUUUAUUGGUUGGGGAUGAAAACAGAUGUGUAGGAUUAUGUGGCCAACUGCGCCAUAUGCCAACAGAACAAGUACAUGGCUUUGUCUCCUUAUGGGCUGUUGCAGCCUUUACCUAUUCCGGACUCAAUUUGGGACGAUAUCUCACUUGACUUCAUUGAAGGGCUACCCAAGUUGGGGGGAUGGAUACUAUAUUGGUUGUGGUGGAUCAUUUGAGUAAUUAUGGUCAUUUCAUCGGUUUAAAACACCCCUUCACUGCUCCUGAGGUUGCUGAGGUAUUCAUAUGAGAGAUAGUCCAUUUGCAUGGCAUGCCCCAGUCGAUUGUGUGACAGGGACCGGAUCUUCAUGAGUAACUUCUGGGCGGAAUUGUACAAAGCACAAGGGACUGUUCUAAAACACAGCACUGCAUACCACCCUCGGAGGUGGUUAAUCAAUGCCUAGAGACCUAUCUAAUGUGUUUUGCAGCUAAUAAGCUACGCAUUUGGAGUCAAUAUCUUCCUUAGGCAGAGUUUUGGUAUAACACAUUAUUUUACAUUGCUACCCAGCAUACUCCAUUCCAGAUUGUUUACAGCCGUGAUCCCUUGCCAAUAUUACACUUUGAGAAGGGUCUUACAGCUAAUUCUUCUGUGGAGCAGCUUUUACUAGAAAGGGAUGAGAUUUUACAGGAACUUAAGGCUCAACUUUCCAGGGCUCAACUGAGGAUGAAACAAAUGGCUGAUGGGCAUCGAUGUGAUAUUCAAUUUGAGGUGGGUGAUCUAGUGUACAUUAAGCUGUGUCCUUUCCGACAGAAGUCGAUGAAAAGAAGCUCAUGUGCCGUUUGAAGUUAUCUCAGAGGUGGAUAAUGUUGCUUAUAAGCUUAACUUGUCUCCUACUGCAGCCAUACGUCAUGUGUUCCAUGUGUCCCAACUAUGGAAGGCGGUUGGUAUCUCUCAGCUUUUCUCCUCCCUGCCGCCGCAUCUCACUGCUGGAGGCGAACUUGUUAUUGAACCCGAGGCAGCGAUGGCAAUCAGGCCCUGUGUCGUUGACAGAAAUGGGGAGCCAGAAGUUUUGAUCAAGUGGAAAGAUCUCCCAGAAUCUGAGGCAACCUGGGAGCCAUUUGAAGCCAUACGGAAGCAGUUCCCUAGCUUCCACCUUGAGGACAAGGUGGAUUUUGGGGCAGCGGGCAAUGAUAGACCCACAAUACGAUUCACCUACGCAAGAAGAGGAAAGAAGGAUCCAAGGCAGCAUCGUCAACUUUCAUUCCAGAAUAUUCCUGUAAGCUAGUAGCGGGGGGGGGGGGGGGGGGGGGGUUUUAAAAGAGUAAUAGUUGUAGAUUAAAACGUCUAUAAAAGGUCUUGGAGGAAAAGGGAAAAGUAGGCAUUGUUUUAGUGAGUCUUUCUGUUAGAAGGGAAUCCAGGCCUCUCGAAUUGCCUGUGGGUUGAAUUUCCGUUAUUCAGUUGCAAUAAAGAAUUAAUUUCUAUUCCCUAUACGUAUGCUUGAUUUCUGUUACAUUUCCAGAUUUUAAUUCCUCUCUCACAAGUGAGAAUCACAGCUUCAUAGGUUGGGGUCCUAUCAGGAUCUGAGUCACUAGCAUCCUUGCAGGCCAAUUUACUGUUUGAGCCAAUCCAGUUUGAGGUAAAUUAGUCAAAUACUCUUCCAAGCUUGUGAACCAUUGUUGAAGAUAUAUGUGAAAACGUCAUUUAUCUUUCUGAAGUUUCUCUCUAGAAUAUCAUGGAUUCCACAUGGAACCUCAUUUUUGUAAUUGCUAAUAAUAUAUAUAUAUAUUUUAUUUUUAUUUUUAUUUUUAUUUUUUUUUAUUUUUUACGAGGCUGCAAAGGGGAUUUCAAUUAUUAUAGUUCAUUCCGUCCCAUCUUCCCAUUUCAACCAACCUAUUAACGUUUACCCCACUAGUUAUUUAGAAAUUUUUUUGGAAUGCCUGUGAAUAUGAAGCAUGUUUCUUUUUUCUUUUUAUGGCUGCAGGAGCGUGGUAAUUUGCUCGACGAUUACUUGAAGAGCUUGAGCAAAGAAGAGAAGAAGACAUUGAUAUGAAAUGCCCUCAAUUCCUUUUUUAAACAUAGACUUUUUAACUAACAAACACGCAGCUAUGGAUUUAUUCACUCCACACCUCUCUUCAUAGAAAUGCCUGACUUUUCAAAAUUAAAUGUGUGAUGGUACUUGGGAAUAUGAAUGUGAUCUUGCUAGAAUCUUACUUGUGAAAAAGGGGCUGACAGAACCCUUGACGGACAUCCUCAUGAGCGUCAGACUUGUGUGAAUAAAAAAAGCUUCCCUCCCCUCCUAUUCUAAGUGUGCUGUUAGACACUGUCAAAUUCUUUUUGUCAGCAUAGCAUGAUUGUUACUAGAAAAGACUUUCCCACCGACAAUCAAUUUCAUUAAAUUACUAGUAUAUUUUGUGGGUUGGCAGAAGAAGAAAUUUUAUAUUAACACAAAUGUUAUAUUUAUAUGUAUGCACAAUUAUUUAAC
This 5362-nucleotide long non-coding RNA is filed under the name Olea europaea subsp. europaea. The record is from RNAcentral. Lineage: Eukaryota; Viridiplantae; Streptophyta; Magnoliopsida; Lamiales; Oleaceae.